GAUUUUGCUCGGGGGAGAUGAUGGGUCAUUGGCUUUUGUUCCGAGUGAAUUCAGUGUGAGCAAGGGAGAGAAGAUUGUGUUCAAGAACAAUGCUGGGUUCCCACACAACGUUGUGUUCGACGAGGAUGGAAUUCCCGGCGGAGUUGAUGCUGGCAAGAUCUCCAUGGCCGAAGAGGAUCUGCUUAAUGCCGCAGGAGAGACUUUUUCUGUUACCUUAACCGAGCCUGGAGAGUACGCAUUCUACUGUGCCCCUCACCAGGGUGCUGGCAUGGUAGGAAAGGUCACCGUUUCCUAAGCUUUAACGGUCAUUGCGAGCGUCUCUUCCUUUGCUUUUCCUUUCUUAGGGCUCUCC
RNAcentral lists this long non-coding RNA (352 nucleotides) under Carica papaya (papaya). RNAcentral's name for it is "long non-coding RNA (CPAP_LNC010571)". Lineage: Eukaryota; Viridiplantae; Streptophyta; Magnoliopsida; Brassicales; Caricaceae. The record is from RNAcentral.